GGCUGCAGGCUUCGGUGAGAAAUCAGCUGGGAUGAUGGGGUUGAUAUCUGGCAACAGGGGUGAGGCAGGACCAAGAGGGCCUCCUGGACAGCCUGGUCAACCAGGCCCUACAGGGGGACAGGGUGCCCCAGGAGACGUUGGAGACCCAGGAUCCAUGGGCGGCUUUGGUUACAGAGGACCUGAGGGCCCACCAGGAAAAUCAGGACCAGAUGGAGAACCUGGUCCAACCGGAAUAGGCGGAGAGAAGG
Long non-coding RNA from Coregonus clupeaformis (lake whitefish), 248 nucleotides. RefSeq lists it as uncharacterized. The record is from RefSeq and is a predicted model, not a curated record. The transcript is spliced from 5 exons. NCBI's taxonomy places the organism in Eukaryota, Metazoa, Chordata, Actinopteri, Salmoniformes, Salmonidae.